RNAcentral lists this unclassified non-coding RNA (251 nucleotides) under Hevea brasiliensis (rubber tree). Lineage: Eukaryota; Viridiplantae; Streptophyta; Magnoliopsida; Malpighiales; Euphorbiaceae. The record is from RNAcentral.
CAGGAAUGCUGUUAACUCUGCAAUUACAUGCGCCAAAACGCAAGAUAGAUCAAUCCGAAGAGGAGAAGCAGCGAUGACAGCAAAAGCCUUUACCGCUGUAAGGCGUGUUAUUUCAUUCCCCAUCCGAUCAACAAGUACAGGAAGGCAUGCAGGUAACUCUGCUCUGAGGUUGUCACCAAAUGUUGAAAUGACGAGCCCCAUGCAAGAAAUAGCACAUUCCUUAACUUCCUGGUCUUGGUCUUGGUUUGUCA